Diabrotica virgifera virgifera (western corn rootworm) is the source of this 855-nucleotide long non-coding RNA. RefSeq lists it as uncharacterized. Lineage: Eukaryota; Metazoa; Arthropoda; Insecta; Coleoptera; Chrysomelidae. The record is from RefSeq and is a predicted model, not a curated record. The transcript is spliced from 3 exons.
UCGAGCAAGUCUCGUAAAUUUCACGAUUGCGAGCCACGCUUCACGCAACCGUGUUUGCGUACUUGUGUUUCAAGUUGCGUGGUCGUACGGAGUUAUAUUUACCAAAUUUACUAAAUAUAAUCGUUUUCAAAAUUAAAUCAAUAUGUCAAUAUGGCUACUGGGUGUAAAAGAUAAAUCUUAUUCUAUCUGUUCUUAAUGAGUUUUAGAUAAUUUUAGUUGUAUUUCUUUGUAAUUUUGUGUUGUACAAAGAUUAAUUUAACAUUUUCUCUGGAAGUAUUAAUUUAGAAAGAUAAUAUGCUUCAUUGGUGUUGUGUUUUGAAGUGUGAAAUGUGAUAAAGUCAAGAUUAAAGUUCACUUUUAAACUGAACUAAAUAAGGUAUCUGAGAGACAACAAUGGUUAAAUGCAAUACAAUGUACAGGUUUUACUAGCGAAAUGAAAAUUUUCCUGUCCUGUCUGCUGUAAUCAUUUUAUAUCUGGAAAACCAGCCGACUUAAUAGAUAAUAACAAUCUCCAGAUUGGGUUCCUUCAAUAAAUAUGGUCUAUAAACACAAUGAAAUAAGUUCCCCAAAAUCUAAAAUGGAGUGGUAUCAAAGGAGAAUUAAAGGGAAAAAUAUUCAUAUUGAAAUUAUUUAUAAGGCACUGGACUGUCUUAAAUUCUACAAUAAUACUAGAAUCAGCUGAGAGAAGUGGUCUAUAAAAAAACCAGGAAGGAAACGGAAUAUGUGGCUACGAAAGGCAAAAGAAAGGUUUACAAAGCAAAUGUGACACAUUUUUUUGAAAUAUUUAGGAAUAUCAGUAAAUUGCAUUAAAAAAAUGUAUGAAAAGAUUUUGUUCAAUAAAAAUGUUUAUAUUUA